CUCCUGAACCCCUCCACUGCUCAUGUUGAAGAAAUACGAGAUAUCACCAAUCAACUUAAUGCAAUCUCUCUGGAAAAAACAGCACAUAUCCUUACCAAACUGAAACUGAGAACGUACACCCAAGGUAAUAGAGCUGGGAAACAUUUGGCCACUCUGCUUAAAAAACAACAGGCAAAUUCAAAAAUCCCGCACCUAAUUACUGCCCAAGACAAAAAAAUAUAUAACCCG
This is a non-coding RNA of Pelobates cultripes (western spadefoot toad), 228 nucleotides long. The record is from the annotation of a GenBank genome assembly. Lineage: Eukaryota; Metazoa; Chordata; Amphibia; Anura; Pelobatidae.